This 253-nucleotide ribosomal RNA is filed under the name uncultured bacterium. RNAcentral describes it as "partial 16S ribosomal RNA". It matches the Rfam family "Bacterial small subunit ribosomal RNA", at positions 524 to 776 of the family's 1533-position model. The record is from RNAcentral.
UACGAAGGGUGCAAACGUUGCUCGGAAUUACUGGGCGUAAAGGGCGCGUAGGCGGCCUUCUAAGUCGGACGUGAAAUCCCUCGGCUUAACCGAGGAACUGCGUCCGAUACUGAAAGGCUUGAAUCCGGGAGAGGGAUGUGGAAUUCCAGGUGUAGCGGUGAAAUGCGUAGAUAUCUGGAGGAACACCGGUGGCGAAGGCGGCAUCCUGGACCGGCAUUGACGCUGAGGCGCGAAAGCUAGGGGAGCAAACGGG